GAUGAACGCUCGCUACAGGCUUAACACAUGCAAGUCGAGGGGAAACGACAUCGAAAGCUUGCUUUUGAUGGGCGUCGACCGGCGCACGGGUGAGUAACGCGUAUCCAACCUGCCCAUCACUUGGGAAUAACCUUGCGAAAGUAAGACUAAUACCCAAUGACAUCCCACGAAGACAUCUGAAUGGGAUUAAAGAUUUAUCGGUGAUGGAUGGGGAUGCGUCUGAUUAGCUUGUUGGCGGGGUAACGGCCCACCAAGGCAACGAUCAGUAGGGGUUCUGAGAGGAAGGUCCCCCACAUUGGAACUGAGACACGGUCCAAACUCCUACGGGAGGCAGCAGUGAGGAAGAUUGGUCAAUGGGCGAGAGCCUGAACCAGCCAAGUAGCGUGCAGGAUGACGGCCCUAUGGGUGGUAAACUGCUUUUAUAAGGGAAUAAAGUGGGUCUCGUGAGACUUUUUGCAGGUACCUUAUGAAUAAGGACCGGCUAAUUCCGUG
Molecule: ribosomal RNA, 492 nt
Filed under: uncultured bacterium
Lineage: Bacteria
Description: partial 16S ribosomal RNA
Rfam family: Bacterial small subunit ribosomal RNA
Source: RNAcentral